AUUGAACGCUGGCGGCAGGCCUAACACAUGCCAGUCGAGCGGAUGAAGGGAGCUUGCUCCUGGAUUCAGCGGCGGACGGGUGAGUAAUGCCUGGGAAUCUCCCUGGUAGUGGGGGAUGACGUCCGGAAACGGGCGCUACUACCGCCUACGUCCUGAGGGUGCAAGUGGGGGAUCUUCGGACCUCACGCUAUCAGAUGAGCCUAGGUCGGAUUAGCUAGUUGGUGGGGUAAAGGCCUACCAAGGCGACGAUCCGUAGAUGGUCGGAGAGGAGGAUCAGCCACACUGGAACUGGGACAGGGACCAUGCUCCUACGGGAGGCAGCAGUGGGGAAUAGUGGACAAUGGGCGAAAGCCUGAUCCAGCCAUGCCGCGUGUGUGAAGAAGGUCUUCGGAGUGUAAAGCACUUUAAGGUGGGAGGAAGGGCAGUAAGUUAAUACGUUGCUGUUUUGACGUUACCAACAGAAUAAGCACCGGCUAACUUCGUG
RNAcentral lists this ribosomal RNA (484 nucleotides) under uncultured bacterium. RNAcentral describes it as "partial 16S ribosomal RNA". It matches the Rfam family "Bacterial small subunit ribosomal RNA", at positions 30 to 507 of the family's 1533-position model. The record is from RNAcentral.